AGACUAGUUUCUCUGUCGUUCUCCAAGCGUUACCUACCGUGUUUAUUCCAUAAGUGACUUUGGCCUUUGCUUACGUCCCCGACCACGAUUUCUGUCUUGCCCCGUUUGUUUUGUUUGCAUGAUCACCUGACCCUCGCUUGCUUCUUGACUAUGGACUGUGCUCACAGCUCUGGAUUAUUCUGCCUGAACCUGCCGCUCGCUUCUGCUUCUGUAUUCCCCACGGAGACUAUUUGAGUUCCCUGGCUCGGUUUGGCUCUGCAUGCUGGACUGUCUCCUCUCACUCCUCUGUGCAAAAUCACUUCAUGCGACUGUUGGCAGCACUUGUUCUUGAUCCCCAAGUGGAAAGUU
Long non-coding RNA from Ictalurus punctatus (channel catfish), 348 nucleotides. RefSeq lists it as uncharacterized. The record is from RefSeq and is a predicted model, not a curated record. NCBI's taxonomy places the organism in Eukaryota, Metazoa, Chordata, Actinopteri, Siluriformes, Ictaluridae. The transcript is spliced from 3 exons.